GCGCCGAUAGUUCAGUGGCAGAAUAUCUGAUUUCCAUUCAGAUGGCAGGGUUUCGAUUACCCUUCGGCGUA
Molecule: transfer RNA, 71 nt
Filed under: Pseudomonadota bacterium
Lineage: Bacteria; Pseudomonadati; Pseudomonadota
Description: Proteobacteria bacterium (activated sludge metagenome) tRNA-Gly
Rfam family: tRNA
About the family: Transfer RNA (tRNA) molecules are approximately 80 nucleotides in length.
Source: RNAcentral